GUCUAGGCCAUGCCACCUUGAACAAGCCUGAUCCUGUCUAAUCUCGGAAGCUAAGCAGAGUUGGGCCUGGUUAGUACUUGAAUGAGAGACCAUCUAGGAAGACCAGGUGCUGUAGGCA
RNAcentral lists this ribosomal RNA (118 nucleotides) under Pteropus alecto (black flying fox). Lineage: Eukaryota; Metazoa; Chordata; Mammalia; Chiroptera; Pteropodidae. The record is from RNAcentral.